GACGAACCGUGCGAACGUUGUUCGGAAUCACUGGGCUUAAAGGGCGCGUAGGCGGCUUGCCAAGUCAGGGGUGAAAUCUUUCGGCUUAACCGGAAAAGUGCCUUUGAUACUGGCGAGCUCGAGGGAGGUAGGGGCAGAUGGAACUUCCGGUGGAGUGGUGAAAUGUGUUGAUAUCGGAAGGAACGCCGGUGGCGAAAGCGAUCUGCUGGACCUCUUCUGACGCUGAGGCGCGAAAGCCAGGGUAGCGAACGGG
RNAcentral lists this ribosomal RNA (253 nucleotides) under uncultured bacterium. RNAcentral describes it as "partial 16S ribosomal RNA". It matches the Rfam family "Bacterial small subunit ribosomal RNA", at positions 524 to 776 of the family's 1533-position model. The record is from RNAcentral.